GAUGAACGCUAGCGGGAGGCCUAACACAUGCAAGUCGAACGGUAGAGCAGUUUCGGAUACUUGUGAGCGGCGGACGGGUGCGUAACACGUGGGCAACCUACCUUUAUUUGGGGGUUAGCCUGUCUAACGGAAGAUUAAUAACCCAUAAAAUAAUGAUUGGCAUCAAUUAUUAUUGAAAACUCCGGUGGCUAGAGAUGGGCACGCGCAAGAUUGGAUAGUUGGUGAGGUACCGGCUCACCAACCCAAUGAUCUGUAGGUGUCCUGAGAGGGAGAGCCCCCAGACUGGGACUGCGACACGGACCACACUCCUACGGGAGGGAGCAGUAAGGAAGACAGUAGGAGGGAUGAGGGCCUAAUCCAGCCAUGCCGGGUGAAGAAGCACUGUGGUAUGGAUGGUAAACUUCUGGUGGAGAAGGACAGACGUAUCCUAGUGAGCGUAGCUGAAGGUACUGGACGAAUAAGCACCGGCUAACUCCGUG
This 479-nucleotide ribosomal RNA is filed under the name uncultured bacterium. RNAcentral describes it as "partial 16S ribosomal RNA". It matches the Rfam family "Bacterial small subunit ribosomal RNA", at positions 28 to 507 of the family's 1533-position model. The record is from RNAcentral.